ACAGCAGUCGCCGCGGUAAUACGGAGGAUCCAAGCGUUAUCCGGAAUCAUUGGGUUUAAAGGGUCCGUAGGCGGUCUUGUAAGUCAGUGGUGAAAGCCCAUCGCUCAACAGUGGAACGGCCAUUGAUACUGCAGGACUUGAAUUAUUGGGAAGUAACUAGAAUAUGUAGUGUAGCGGUGAAAUGCUUAGAGAUUACAUGGAAUACCAAUUGCGAAGGCAGGUUACUACCAAUUGAUUGACGCUGAUGGACGAAAGCGUGGGUAGCGAACAGGAUUAGAUACCCCUGUAGUCCCUGUCUCUUAUAC
RNAcentral lists this ribosomal RNA (305 nucleotides) under uncultured bacterium. Its description in RNAcentral is "partial 16S ribosomal RNA". It matches the Rfam family "Bacterial small subunit ribosomal RNA", at positions 508 to 807 of the family's 1533-position model. The record is from RNAcentral.